This 253-nucleotide ribosomal RNA is filed under the name uncultured bacterium. Its description in RNAcentral is "partial 16S ribosomal RNA". It matches the Rfam family "Bacterial small subunit ribosomal RNA", at positions 524 to 776 of the family's 1533-position model. The record is from RNAcentral.
UACGUAGGUGGCAAGCGAUACUCGGAAUCACUAGGCGUAAAGCGCAGGUAGGCGGUUUGGUAAGUCUUUUGUGAAAGCUCCUGGCUUAACUGGGAGAGGUCAAAGGAAACUACCAGGCUAGAGUGUGGCAGAGGAAGCUGGAAUUCCCGGUGUAGCGGUGAAAUGCGUAGAUAUCGGGAGGAAUACCUAUGGCGAAAGCAGGCUUCUGGGCCAUCACUGACGCUGAUCUGCGAAAGCUAGGGGAGCAAACAGG